UUGUUUCAUCUUAUGGUAUCACUUAUCUCCUGAAUUCUUCCCUCAUGGUCCAGUAGUUGUUUGUCUCACUUCUGCCCAGCUUCUUUAUUCCUCAUUAUUUGGUCUUCUGUAUCACUAAUUCUCUCUUCUGCCUCAUUUAUCCUAGCAGUUAGGAUAAUUGUUUUA
This is a long non-coding RNA of Mustela erminea (ermine), 165 nucleotides long. RefSeq lists it as uncharacterized. The record is from RefSeq and is a predicted model, not a curated record. The transcript has 3 exons. Lineage: Eukaryota; Metazoa; Chordata; Mammalia; Carnivora; Mustelidae.